This 73-nucleotide transfer RNA is filed under the name Microcaldota archaeon. Its description in RNAcentral is "tRNA-Trp". It matches the Rfam family "tRNA". Rfam says of the family: Transfer RNA (tRNA) molecules are approximately 80 nucleotides in length. Their secondary structure includes four short double-helical elements and three loops (D, anti-codon, and T loops). The record is from RNAcentral. Lineage: Archaea; Nanobdellati; Microcaldota.
GGGGUCAUGGCGUAACUUGGUAGCGCGGCAGGCUCCAGACCUGCAUGUUGGGGUUCAAAUCCCUAUGACCCCA